RNAcentral lists this ribosomal RNA (3546 nucleotides) under Candidatus Calescibacteriota bacterium. RNAcentral's name for it is "Candidatus Calescamantes bacterium (hot springs metagenome) 23S ribosomal RNA". It matches the Rfam family "Bacterial large subunit ribosomal RNA". Lineage: Bacteria; Candidatus Calescibacteriota. The record is from RNAcentral.
UUAUGGUAGAAAGGGUCUGGGGUGGAUGCCUUGGCACCAGAAGGCGAUGAAGGGCGUGGUAAGCUGCGAUAAGCCCGGGGGAGGCGCAAACAGCCUGUGAUCCCGGGAUUCCCGAAUGAGGAAACUCAAUAGGGGUAAAGCCCCUAUUAUCCUAAAAAGGAUGCGAUACCCCCUGAAGUGAAACAUCUCAGUAAGGGGAGGAAAAGAAAUCAACCGAGAUUCCCCAAGUAGCGGCGAGCGAAAGGGGAACAGCCUAAACCAGAUAGGUGUAAUAGCUCUCCGGCGUUGCCUAUCUGGGGUUGUAGGAUACACUUGGGGAAGGCGGAGAACUUCCCAGGGAGUUACAAAACUGAAGGAUAGCUGAAGUGGUCUGGAAAGGCCCGCCAUAGAAGGUGAUAGCCCUGUAAGCGAAAUCCUUCAGUCUCCCGGAAGUGUAUUCCUGAGUACCACGGCCCACGUGAAAGGUCGUGGGAAGCUGGGGGGACUACCCUCCAAGGCUAAAUACUAUCUGGUGCCCGAUAGCGAACCAGUACCGAGAGGGAAAGGUGAAAAGAACCCCGGAGAGGGGAGUGAAAUAGAACCUGAAACCCCAGAUCUACAGACUGCGGAAGGACUACCCCCGUUUGGGGAGGAGCGUCCGACCGCGUGCCUUUUGCGUAAUGAGCCGGCGAGUUGCUCUCAGCGGUGGGUUAAGUCCCUCUGGGACGAAGCCAUAGGGAAACCGAGUCCGAAAGGGCGUUAAAAUCGCUGGGGGCAGACCCGAAACGUCACGAUCUACCCAUGCCCAGGAUGAAGGAUGGGUAAAACCAUCUGGAGGUCCGAACGGGUCCGGGUUGAAAACCGGUCCGAUGAGGUGUGGGUAGGAGUGAAAAGCUAAUCGAGUGACGAUAUAGCUGGUUCCUCCCGAAAUGCAUCUAAGUGCAGCCUCGCGAAAUGAUCUAAGGCGGUAGAGCCACUUCUUUGGCUACCGGAGGGGAAACCUUCCGGAACCAAGGUAAACUCCGAAUGCCUUAGGUCAGUAGCGGGAGUGAGUGGCCCGGGGAUAAGCUCGGGUCGCAAGAGGGGAACAACCCAGACCCUCGGCUAAGGCCCCGAAUUUUGGGCUAAGUGAAGAAGGAUGUCUAUUCGCUAAGACAGCUGGGAUGUUGGCUUAGAAGCAGCCAUCAUUUAAAGAGUGCGUAACAGCUCACCGGCCGAGCGAAUAGGCGCCGAAAAUUUAACGGGACUCAAGCCCAAAGCCGAAGCCAGGGGCAGCUGUUAAAGCUGCGGUAGGGAGGCGUCCCAGGUGCGCUGAAGUCUGACCGAAAGGGCAGAUGGAGUGCCUGGGAGUGAGAAUGCCGGCACGAGUAACGAGAGGGAGGUGAAAAUCCUCCCGCCCGAAAGCCCAAGGUUUCCUGCUCAACGCUAAUCGGAGCAGGGUUAGCCGGAACCCUAAGGUGUAGCCGAAAGGCGUAGCCGAUGGGAAAGUGGGUUAAUACUCCCCGCCGCUGCAGGGCGCUAACAGUAAUAUUGACGGCACAGUAGGAUGUAAGGAGUUGACGGCUUGCUCCUUGCUACCCGAAAUGUGUCCAAGAAACAGAUAUUACUGUUGUCCUGUAGCGACCGUACCUCAAACCGACACAGGUGGGCUGGUAAGUAAUUCACCAAGGGUAGCGGGUGAAACCCUCCUAAGGAACUCGGCAAAUUUUCCCCGUAACUUCGGAAGAAGGGGUGCCCGUUCUGGCGCAAGCUAGAACGGGUCGCAGAGAAAAGGUGGUGCCGACUGUUUACUAAAAACACAGGUCUCUGCUAACCCGAAAGGGGAAGUAUAGGGACUGAAGCCUGCCCGGUGCCCGAAGGUCAAGGUAAGGGGUUAGCCGCAAGGUGAGGCUCCAAGCCUAAGCCCGGGUAAACGGAGGCCGUAACUCUGACGGUCAAGGCUAUAAAAAGGGCCGUCAAUAAAUCCGACUAUAUGCUGGGAAGCCCGAAAAUCCUACCAUACCGAGUAGGUGAAAAUUGGUAGGAUUGGGUUAUCAGCAGGAAAGAUUCUCCAAAAGGAGGUGCAUCAUGAGAGAAAAAUACAAAAAAUUCUUCCUUGCAGGAUUUAUAGAGGGUGAAGGGUCGCUUUGCAUCUCUUUAAAGAAAAAUGCAAGCUCAAAGUUUGGAAUAAAUGUGGAUCCAGAAUUUUUUAUCUAUCAACGCAAAUCUGGAAGAGCACUUCUUGAAAUGGCCCAGCAAAUAUUUCAUACUGGAACCAUAUACGAAAAAGAUGGAAAUAGGAAUGUGUUAGUCUUCGCUAUAAGAAAUAGAAGAAGUAUAAAAGAGAAAGUUAUUCCAUUUUUCGAAAAAUACGUAAUGCCCUUUUCCCAAAAAUUCAAAAAUAGCUUUUCAAUAAUAAAAAGAAUUAUUGAGCUUGAGGAAAGAGGUGCUCAUCAAACGAAAGAAGGUAUGAUCGAGAUAUUGAAACUUGCUUCAAGUUUCAAAACCCUAGAAGGGAAAAGGGGAAAAUGGGAUGCUAAAAAACUUUUGGAGAAUCUCCUCAGAGACCAUACGUCGGACUCCGAAUAAGGAGAAGAUAUGGUCCAAAGCUCCCUUAAAAAGGGGGUGAAAGCCUAAGGUAGCGUAGUCCCUUGCCGGGUAAGUUCCGGCCUGCAUGAAUGGCCCAACGAGUGCCACGCUGUCUUAGGGGGGUGCCCGGUGAAAAUGUAGUGGGGGUGAAGAUGCCCCCAACCCAUGGCAGGACGGAAAGACCCCGUGCAGCUUUACUGCAGUCUGCCGCUGAACUUUGUGAAUUCCUGCGCAGAAUAGGUGGGAGCCUUUGAAGUCCUAGCUCCGGCUAGGAUGGAGGCGCCAGUGAGAUACCACCCUGGGGUUCGCGGAGUUCUAACCUAUAAGGGACACCGGCAGUCGGGCAGUUUUCCUGGGGCGGGAUCUCCCGAAAAAGUAUCGGGAGAGCACAUAAGGUGUCCUCAGCCGGUGUGGAAAGCCGGCCUUGAGUGCAGGGACAUAAGGACGCUUGACUGCAAGGGGGACACCCCAAGCAGGUGCGAAAGCAGGUCCCAGUGACCCGGCGGUUCUAUGUAGGAGGGCCGUCGAUCAGCGGAUAAAAGCUACGCCGGGGAUAACAGACUAAUUUCUCCCGAGAGUUCACAUCGACGGGGGAGUUUGGUACCUCGAUGUCGGCUCAUCCCCUCCUGGGGCUGAAGAAGGUCCCAAGGGUCGGGCUGUUCGCCCGUUAAAGGGGUACGCGAGCUGGGUUUAAACCGUCGUGAGACAGGUUGGUCCUUAUCCGCCAUGGGCGCAGGAUAGCUGCGAGGAGCUGGUCCUAGUACGAGAGGACCGGACUGGGGCAGCCUCUGGUGUACCAGUUGUUCCGCCAGGAGCAUCACGCUGGGUAGCCAAGCUGCUAAGGGAUAACCGCUGAAGGCAUCUAAGCGGGAAACCCACCUCAAGAUAAGCUAUCCCUGAAGGGCCCUCGGAGACUACGAGGUUGAUAGGCCCAAGGUGUAAGCUCCGCAAGGAGUUUAGCUGAUGGGUACUAAUCGCCCGUUCGCCAUAAACCUGUUU